Long non-coding RNA from Bactrocera neohumeralis, 808 nucleotides. RefSeq lists it as uncharacterized. Lineage: Eukaryota; Metazoa; Arthropoda; Insecta; Diptera; Tephritidae. The transcript is spliced from 2 exons. The record is from RefSeq and is a predicted model, not a curated record.
UAGUAAAUCCGACGAGCUUUUAAAUUUAUUUGAAGAGUUUUGUAUAUUUGGAAUGCAUUUCUUUCUACUGCGUUAAUUUAAUUUAUAUACCUUCCUAGUAGCAUAAAAUUGAACGUAAACAUAAAAAUUAAUAAACUCGAGGAAUAUUCGUAUAAUGAAAAUAUAAAAUAUGUAUUAAGAUCGGUUUCUCCAGCUUAGUUUGCAAUCUUCGUAUGUAUCAUUUUGAACGGAACUAGAAAUAAGUCCUUAUUAACAAACUCAGCGUACUAUUGACUUUCGACAGUGCUGUUUUGUUGUGAAAUUGUUAUAAUACAUCUGGGCUGUAGGGCGGCUGCGGAAGCGUAGAGAUGCCGGCUUUGGUUAAGGUCCGUAUCCAGCUCUUAAGUAAUUGCUCAAGAAAAAAAUCCUUAUUUCUUGAGCUGUAGUCAAGUAAUUUUAACAGCUGGUUAUGCAUUGUGAAUGAUGCACAUUAGAAGAGCAAGUGAAAAUAAACAAAGAAAUUAAACUUAUGUGUAUUAUGUUAUGUUAUUAUAGUAUUUAAAUAUUUUCAUUGCGAUUUAAGGAAUAUGGAUGAAGACUGAAUAACACAACACCAGAAUGAACCGCAAUAGCAGAUUGGUUCAUCCUUAGCAGAGCGAGACAGUUUUCUAAAGGUUUAACGUUACGUAUUGUGCAAUCAUGGAAUAAAAAUUAACCAUUUCUUUCCUAUGUAUUUCUUGUUUGUAAAUUUCAGUAAAUUUGUUAAACGUGCGCUUUUAUGCUUCGUUAACGCCUCAUACAUUUUGAUAAUAAAAGAAGUUCAAAAUAA